UGAGGAAUAUUGGUCAAUGGGCGCAAGCCUGAACCAGCCACGUCGCGUGAAGGAAGACGGCCCUACGGGUUGUAAACUUCUUUUGCAAGGGAAUAAAGUGGGCCACGUGUGGCCUUUUGCAAGUACCUUGCGAAUAAGGAUCGGCUAACUCCGUGCCAGCAGCCGCGGUAAUACGGAGGAUCCGAGCGUUAUCCGGAUUUAUUGGGUUUAAAGGGUGCUCAGGCGGGACAUUAAGUCGGCGGUGAAAUUUUGCGGCUCAACCGUAAAAGUGCCUUCGAAACUGGUAUCCUUGAGUGUGGAUGAGGUAGGCGGAAUUUGUGGUGUAGCGGUGAAAUGCAUAGAUAUCACGAGGAACUCCGAUUGCGCAGGCAGCUUACUAAGCCAUAACUGACGCUCAAGCACGAAGGCGUGGGGAUCAAACAGG
This 424-nucleotide ribosomal RNA is filed under the name uncultured bacterium. RNAcentral describes it as "bacterial SSU rRNA". It matches the Rfam family "Bacterial small subunit ribosomal RNA", at positions 355 to 776 of the family's 1533-position model. The record is from RNAcentral. RNAcentral also lists the same sequence under 2 other names.